CCCAUGGUGGUGCAGUGGUUAGCACUCUUGCCUCUCAAGUAAAUUCCGAGUUUGAGUCCCGGCUGGCC
Molecule: transfer RNA, 68 nt
Filed under: Anguilla anguilla (European eel)
Lineage: Eukaryota; Metazoa; Chordata; Actinopteri; Anguilliformes; Anguillidae
Description: tRNA-OTHER
Source: RNAcentral